AGAGAUGUAGCUCAGUGGUAUAGCACUUGCCUGGCAUGUAAAAGGCUCUGGAUUCAACCUCUAGCAACACAC
RNAcentral lists this transfer RNA (72 nucleotides) under Ictidomys tridecemlineatus (thirteen-lined ground squirrel). RNAcentral's name for it is "Spermophilus tridecemlineatus (thirteen-lined ground squirrel) tRNA". The stretch from base 6 to 66 matches the Rfam family "tRNA", at positions 6 to 65 of the family's 71-position model. From Rfam's summary of the family: Transfer RNA (tRNA) molecules are approximately 80 nucleotides in length. Their secondary structure includes four short double-helical elements and three loops (D, anti-codon, and T loops). The record is from Rfam by way of RNAcentral. Lineage: Eukaryota; Metazoa; Chordata; Mammalia; Rodentia; Sciuridae. RNAcentral also lists the same sequence under 1 other name.